GUAAUCGCGAAUCAGCAUGUCGCGGUGAAUACGUUCCCGGGCCUUGUACACACCGCCCGUCACACCAUGAGAGUUGGCAAUACCCAACGUACGUGAUCUAACCCGCAAGGGAGGAAGCGUCCUAAGGUAGGGUCAGCGAUUGGGGUGAAGUCGUAACAAGGUAAC
Molecule: ribosomal RNA, 165 nt
Filed under: uncultured bacterium
Lineage: Bacteria
Description: partial 16S ribosomal RNA
Rfam family: Bacterial small subunit ribosomal RNA
Source: RNAcentral